GAUGAACGCUGGCGGCGUGCCUAAUACAUGCAAGUCGAGCGAACAGACGAGGAGCUUGCUCCUCUGACGUUAGCGGCGGACGGGUGAGUAACACGUGGAUAACCUACCUAUAAGACUGGGAUAACUUCGGGAAACCGGAGCUAAUACCGGAUAAUAUAUUGAACCGCAUGGUUCAAUAGUGAAAGACGGUUUUGCUGUCACUUAUAGAUGGAUCCGCGCCGCAUUAGCUAGUUGGUAAGGUAACGGCUUACCAAGGCGACGAUGCGUAGCCGACCUGAGAGGGUGGUCGGACACACUGGAAGUGAGACACGGUCCAGACUCCUACGGGAGGCAGCAGUAGGGAAUCUUCCGCAAUGGGCGAAAGCCUGACGGAGCAACGCCGCGUGAGUGAUGAAGGUCUUCGGAUCGUAAAACUAUGUUAUUAGGGAAGAACAAAUGUGUAAGUAACUAUGCACGUCUUGACGGUACCUAAUCAGAAAGCCACGGCUAACUACGUG
RNAcentral lists this ribosomal RNA (497 nucleotides) under uncultured bacterium. RNAcentral describes it as "partial 16S ribosomal RNA". It matches the Rfam family "Bacterial small subunit ribosomal RNA", at positions 28 to 507 of the family's 1533-position model. The record is from RNAcentral.